Psammomys obesus (fat sand rat) is the source of this 311-nucleotide long non-coding RNA. RefSeq lists it as uncharacterized. Lineage: Eukaryota; Metazoa; Chordata; Mammalia; Rodentia; Muridae. The transcript has 3 exons. The record is from RefSeq and is a predicted model, not a curated record.
GGGGGCCGAGGACCUGCAGCAUUAACAACCCUGGCAUAAAGCUCCGCUUUCGUCCUUGUCUGCGGUCGGGUAUUUUCCUCAGGCUCAUACUUCUACUAUGGCUGUAGACUCCAGAGCUGGAAAGGAAGACAGACUUUCUUUAAGGCAAGGGUCUGUCUCCCUGCCUAAGAAAGACAAGUGAAAUAAUACUGCAGUGCCUGCACUUCAAGAGGCCUCAGCUUCCUGCUCCAGCCACCAUGUCUACUGCUUGCUUCCACACGUCCUCAUUUUGAUGGACACUCACCCCACUGCAACUGUAACCCAAUUAAAAU